GUGUGAAUUUGGUUUAUGU
This 19-nucleotide unclassified non-coding RNA is filed under the name Mus musculus (house mouse). RNAcentral's name for it is "oocyte_clustered_small_RNA7589". The record is from RNAcentral. Lineage: Eukaryota; Metazoa; Chordata; Mammalia; Rodentia; Muridae.